Molecule: unclassified non-coding RNA, 455 nt
Filed under: Hevea brasiliensis (rubber tree)
Lineage: Eukaryota; Viridiplantae; Streptophyta; Magnoliopsida; Malpighiales; Euphorbiaceae
Source: RNAcentral
AAAAAUAAUGAAGCACCAAGUGAGCCAAACCUAUUCCAGACUCAGUCCUGACAAUUUGUUACAACAGCUCAAUUCUACAGUCUAAAUUCAGAUUUUCACAUUUAAUGCAAGCUUACAACCAAACUAAUCAGCAAGGUUUACCAAAACAAAAUUGUAAAGAAAAAGAAACCUUCAAUUGGUCUGUGGAGCAAUCAAAAUUCCAGAGUUCAGACUAUAGGAGCACAAGCCCAAGUUCUGCAGGCUUCAAUAUUUGUUUAAUGCGAUAAUUGUAAAGAUAAUAGUGAAGUUUCCCAUCACCAGGCCCAAAUUUCAGCUCCUUCAAGAAAGACUCAUUUUGCAUGACAUCUAGUGCAUUGAACACAUCAUAGUCUGCGUGUUUUGCAACAAUUAGUGCAUCAUUCAUCAGCUGAACCAAUGGAGUCUUAGUUGAAAUAUUGUAGUAAGAAUAUGCUGCC